UACGGGGGGGGCAAGCGUUGUUCGGAAUUACUGGGCGUAAAGGGCUCGUAGGCGGCCAACUAAGUCAGACGUGAAAUCCCUCGGCUUAACCGGGGAACUGCGUCUGAUACUGGAUGGCUAGAGGUUGGGAGAGGGAUGCGGAAUUCCAGGUGUAGCGGUGAAAUGCGUAGAUAUCUGGAGGAACACCGGUGGCGAAGGCGGCAUCCUGGACCAAUUCUGACGCUGAGGAGCGAAAGCCAGGGGAGCAAACGGG
This 253-nucleotide ribosomal RNA is filed under the name uncultured bacterium. RNAcentral describes it as "partial 16S ribosomal RNA". It matches the Rfam family "Bacterial small subunit ribosomal RNA", at positions 524 to 776 of the family's 1533-position model. The record is from RNAcentral.